CAGCCUUCAGCACAAGAAGGAACUUAGAGACUUAAGGGUCCACCGGGUUUCUUAAAUCUGUGCUUGGAUUACAGCAUUGUAACCAAUGCAUAUAGGAUGUAGGAAAAUACUGUGAAAUGGCAACUUCUCUUAUUCUGUAAGGAAUGCUUGUGCUGUUCAAGACCACAGAUGAGUGUUUGUAUUGAACAGAUCUCCCUUGUUUGGAACAGAAGAAGCAGCCCAACUGCAGAGCAUGCUGCCUCCUUGGCCCUCCUCCACCGCCCCUGUUCCCACCACCAUACUUCAGGCACAGCUGGAGAACUAAGCUGGAUGUGGAAGAGCUGUGUCAUGAGCUCCAGACAAUACAGGCUUCCUCUCUGCCUGAACCUCACUGUUCUGCAGGGCCUCCUGGCCCCCAGGGUCCACAAGGAAUUCCUGGUAUAAUGGGACCAAAAGGAGAGAAAGUAAGUGUCUGUUGUCAUGGAGUUUGAUGUGGUUUUGAGGAGCAAAGAAGCAGGGGAGGGUGUU
Molecule: long non-coding RNA, 507 nt
Filed under: Corvus moneduloides (New Caledonian crow)
Lineage: Eukaryota; Metazoa; Chordata; Aves; Passeriformes; Corvidae
Description: lncRNA (ENSCMUG00000019991.1)
Source: RNAcentral